RNAcentral lists this non-coding RNA (45 nucleotides) under Schistosoma mansoni. The record is from RNAcentral. Lineage: Eukaryota; Metazoa; Platyhelminthes; Trematoda; Strigeidida; Schistosomatidae.
AUCCAUCUGACGAGUCCAAAAUAGGACGAAACGCGUGUCCUGGAU